CACACAUUUUGAAAAGUUGCUUAUUUUACAUAAUUUACUGUGUAAUUGCAAAUGCUUCAUUUCAAAAUGAAAUGUGAGGUUUAGUGCUUGGUUUGUUCCCUCUGAUUGAUCCCACGCACACAGAACUGGCACUGCUUUCUUUUGUGUGCUGAAAAAACUAAGUAUCGAGGCACGGCUCUCAAUAUGCUACAUAGUGCAAAUAGCGUAAUGUGCAGCCCAUUAACAAGAUAGCUAAGCAUCAUGGGAGUUUAAAUACACAGAAGUUAUUCUGUCAAAGGUUAC
Pelobates cultripes (western spadefoot toad) is the source of this 282-nucleotide non-coding RNA. The record is from the annotation of a GenBank genome assembly. Lineage: Eukaryota; Metazoa; Chordata; Amphibia; Anura; Pelobatidae.